Long non-coding RNA from Sphaeramia orbicularis (orbiculate cardinalfish), 248 nucleotides. RefSeq lists it as uncharacterized. NCBI's taxonomy places the organism in Eukaryota, Metazoa, Chordata, Actinopteri, Kurtiformes, Apogonidae. The transcript is spliced from 3 exons. The record is from RefSeq and is a predicted model, not a curated record.
UCCCACCUGUUUUUUGAAUUAUGACGUUAUUCUCGUAAUAUUAUAGCUUUCUUCUGAGAGUCUGACGACAUUAUUCUCAUGAUAUUACGACUUCAUUCUCGUAAAAUUAUGACUCUUUGUAUUCGACUUUAUUCUCAUAAAAUAACAAGUUUUAUCUGGAUAUUUUCGGCUUUAGUCUCGCAGUGACAAGUGUUUUUAUUUUCUUAUGUGGCCCUAAUGUGCCGUCAAAGAAUAAUACAUUCAAAACA